UUGUCCCGUGUCUUCAGUGCCAAGGU
RNAcentral lists this non-coding RNA (26 nucleotides) under Mus musculus (house mouse). The record is from RNAcentral. Lineage: Eukaryota; Metazoa; Chordata; Mammalia; Rodentia; Muridae.